UACGGGGGGGGCAAGCGUUGUUCGGAAUUACUGGGCGUAAAGGGCUCGUAGGUGGCCAACUAAGUCAGACGUGAAAUCCCUCGGCUUAACCGGGGAACUGCGUCUGAUACUGGAUGGCUUGAGUUCGGGAGAGGGAUGCGGAAUUCCAGGUGUAGCGGUGAAAUGCGUAGAUAUCUGGAGGAACACCGGUGGCGAAGGCGGCAUCCUGGACCGACACUGACGCUCAUACACGAAAGCGUGGGGAGCAAACAGG
Molecule: ribosomal RNA, 253 nt
Filed under: uncultured bacterium
Lineage: Bacteria
Description: partial 16S ribosomal RNA
Rfam family: Bacterial small subunit ribosomal RNA
Source: RNAcentral